Balaenoptera ricei (Rice's whale) is the source of this 301-nucleotide long non-coding RNA. RefSeq lists it as uncharacterized. The transcript has 3 exons. Lineage: Eukaryota; Metazoa; Chordata; Mammalia; Artiodactyla; Balaenopteridae. The record is from RefSeq and is a predicted model, not a curated record.
CCUGGUAUACCAGCACCCUGGGGAAGAUAGAGAAAGUGAUGUCUGCAGAGCAAUAGAAUGUUCAAGAUGCAGCAAUUACAAACACCUCCCAUUGAAGCUGAGCUUCUGAAAACUGGCUGUUGGAUCUCUGAUGUUGAAGACUCUCCAUGAAUGCUUUCUGUUUGCCUUGAUGGAAUUGUUCCUGAACUGCUCUCCAGGAGAGUCCACAUGAAAUGGGCUGGUAUUUCAGCAUCUUGGCCUUUACCUGUGUUAUCACUCUACAGAAUGAAAAAAGGACAUGUGGGGACGUUUGCACUUUUCA